AAAAGUCACGCGUCUCCCGCCAGAAAAUGGCUACUCACUCCAAGCUCGGGAAGGUCAGCCUCCUCUAACUUUUAAACACGUGGAGCUGUCCCGGUUCGACAAAGAGUCCAGUGAGACGUUCCAGUCGGCCAUGUCAGUGAUCAUGAGCUGUGUGAACAGUAUUGUGAUCGGCAGUAGCAAUGCAGCAUUUCGCUCUGCUUGUCUAAAGAGCAUGAAGGACUGCCUGGUAAGAGAGCUCACAGAGAUAAAGAGCAGUCACCAUUAAUCUCUAAGAGACAGUGUCCAGACACCACUGCAGGAGAUUCAAAAGCCUCUACGAGCGGAUUGUGGGAAAAUCUGCCAAGUCCAAUGACGGCCAUGUUUUGUGAAGGACCGGGUGAAGAAAUGUGUUUAGAGGCAACUUCAUCCGGCCUUCCAUGUAAUACUGAAAAGAAAAAUCAAGAGGUUGAGAGGGAAUGGCUUCAUGAUCUUAAAAAUCUGACUGAGUGGGAUUAAAGCAAGGAGUUCAGAAGAGCUACCAGUUGCAUUUUAUAUUCAUGUAAUACACUGUUCAACAUGUUUACUGUGUUCCUUCAGAAUAUAAUAGUAUGACCCUCGCCACUGAAGAACAAGGAAUUAAUGAUUCAAGUAUUAGAUGUAGAUUCAGUCUUUACCACAAGAUGGCGCCAACACACCAGCACCUACUGUAUGUUUUGUAUGGCGUGACUCUGAACUGUUCUUUCUUGUUUUUUAUUAUUUUAU
Molecule: long non-coding RNA, 741 nt
Organism: Silurus meridionalis
Lineage: Eukaryota; Metazoa; Chordata; Actinopteri; Siluriformes; Siluridae
Exons: 4
Source: RefSeq, a predicted model, not a curated record